GUGGGGAAUUGUUCGCAAUGGACGAAAGUCUGACGACGCAACGCCGCGUGGAGGAUGAAGGUCUUCGGAUUGUAAACUCCUGUUGAUCGGGAAGAAUUCCACCGGGGUGAACAGCCCUGGAGGUUGACGGUACCGGUUGAGGAAGCCCCGGCUAACUCUGUGCCAGCAGCCGCGGUAAUACAGAGGGGGCAAGCGUUGUUCGGAAUUACUGGGCGUAAAGGGCGCGUAGGCGGCCAACUAAGUCAGACGUGAAAUCCCCAGGCUCAACCUGGGAACUGCGUCUGAUACUGAUUGGCUCGAGUUCGGGAGAGGGAAGUGGAAUUCCAGGUGUAGCGGUGAAAUGCGUAGAUAUCUGGAGGAACACCGGUGGCGAAGGCGGCUUCCUGGACCGACACUGACGCUGAGGCGCGAAAGCCAGGGGAGCAAACGGGAUUAGAUACCCCUGUAGUCC
This 451-nucleotide ribosomal RNA is filed under the name uncultured bacterium. Its description in RNAcentral is "bacterial SSU rRNA". It matches the Rfam family "Bacterial small subunit ribosomal RNA", at positions 354 to 796 of the family's 1533-position model. The record is from RNAcentral.